Molecule: ribosomal RNA, 492 nt
Filed under: uncultured bacterium
Lineage: Bacteria
Description: partial 16S ribosomal RNA
Rfam family: Bacterial small subunit ribosomal RNA
Source: RNAcentral
AGCGAACGCUGGCGGCAGGCUUAACACAUGCAAGUCGAACGGCAGCACAGUAAGAGCUUGCUCUUACGGGUGGCGAGAGGCGGACGGGUGAGGAAUAUAUCGGAACCUACUCUUUCGUGGGGGAUAACGUAGGGAAACUUACGCCAAUAUCGCAUACGACGCACGGGUGAAAGCAGGGGAUCUUUGGACCUUGUGCGAUUGAACGAGCCGAUGUUGGAGUAGUUAGUUGGCGGGGUAAAGGCCCACCAAGGCGACGAUCCGUAGCUGGACUGAGAGGAUGGUCGGCCACACUAGAGCUGGGACACGGUCCAGACGCCUGCGGGAGGCCGCAGUGGGCAAUGUUAGGCAGUAGGCGCGAACCUUGUCCAACGGUACCGAGUGGGUGGAAGAGGCCUUCGGGUUGUGAAGCCCUUUUGUUGGGAGAGAAAAGCAGCCGGUUGUUACCCCGCUGUUCUGACGGUACCCGAUAAAUAAGCACCGGCUAACUUCGUG